Long non-coding RNA from Anolis carolinensis (green anole), 3384 nucleotides. RefSeq lists it as uncharacterized. The record is from RefSeq and is a predicted model, not a curated record. The transcript has 2 exons. NCBI's taxonomy places the organism in Eukaryota, Metazoa, Chordata, Lepidosauria, Squamata, Anolidae.
GCCAUUCCUAACCGCCUCAGGCCCCUUCCUUUUCCCCCUCAGCCGCUUAAGCGGCUGAGGGGGAAAAGGAAGGGGCCUGAGGCGGUUAGGAAUGGCGGGAGUUGGAGUCCAAAACACUUGGGAGGGCCCAACUUGGCCCCAAACCUGAUAUAGAUGCCAUUUUCCUUGCCUAAGAAUGCCUCUUUCUGUCUUCUUCUUCUCCUCCUGGUGAUCCCAGGCGUCCGGGCAGCCCAACCUGCUGCAAGGGAAGGCAAGCAGGAAGGUAGCAAAGCAGGCCUGGGAGGAGGAGGAGGAGGAGGAAAGCCAUGCGCGCGGGCACGCGGGGGGAAAGCCCGGGGCUCACACCGCCUCCCCACGUGCGCCUGCCUCUCUCCAUCUCCCCGCCCCGCGCCCGGCCCAGGAUCCGCCUGCCUGCCAGCUGCCGAGGCCCCGCGACAUGUGCGCCACGAAGCAGGGCCAGGCACGUGAGAGGAGGAGAGAGAGAGGGAGAGAACGCGAGCGAGCCAGGGAGGCUCCGUGCGCAGACACGAGACCCGGCCGGCGCCUCCCCAAAGCGGGCCCCACACAGCAAGGGAGAAAGAGAGAGAGCAAAAGCGCCCGCCCGAGCGGGGUUUCCGCGCCCCGCCGGGCAACGACAACCACAACAACAAGAGGAUUGCCAAAAAGAACACAGAGAGAAGGUGAACGGUGUAUACCUGGUACAAAUAUGCAAUUAUUUCAACAGCAAGAACACAAAUAGAAACCAGGGUGGUGACUUUCAGGCACAAUCUUUCUGAUAGUCAAAAGAAGGCUACUAUUAUCCCUGCAACCUGAAGUUGGGAUUGAAACCACCAAUUCUCUCUGCAAUCAAGUAGGUGGCACAAAAACACAGCCCGAGUUCCUUGUAACCAGAGAGAAAAGUCCUCUUUCCUUGUAUCCUGGGUGGUGAUGUCAAACCAGUUUCCUAGAUUUGACACUUUGGAGUAAACAAUGGAUAGUCUGCAUAAUUUGAUCUGAGGUUUUUAUUUUUAUUCAAAAUCUGAAAUUUUGACAAGGAACAAACAACGAGCCAAGGAAAGUAGAUAUACAGCCAUCAGCGCUUUCAGCAACUAGAGGAGUAUAUUUAACCCUUUCCGUUCUCACUACGCCGUUUUUCUUCCCAUGCAUUGCUAACAUUGCAAGAAAAAGGCCCCCAAGGAAGGACAAUUUGGAGUACAAAAAGGAUUUGGAACACACAAAUGGCCCUGCAUGAAAAAUGUCAAACCAUCUUUUCACUCCUAGUACCCUUACACUCAAAAACUGCAACCUCCCAAAUCUGUUUUGUGUGUGUGUAAAAACAAGAACUACAAGUGCUAAGAGAGUGGUGAGCAAUAUAUGGUUAUACAGACAACCCUGAAUUGCGAGUCCAAAAACAACUCGAGAGCUACACGUUGUUCACCCACUCCUGAACUAAGGAGUUAGACCUUUCUCCUUGCAAUUUAUUAUUGUUACAGAUAUUACACAGAGACAAAUCAAGUGGGCCCACGUCAGAGGCUGAAGCUUCUUAAAGUCCCAGUCUUUGCAGGGUGAAUAGUUACUCUCAUAUAUCCGCAAUGCAUCCAUCUUUUUAGGAGCAUAUUUAGCACAUGUUGCACAGAUAUCUGAGAAACAUAAUGGGAAAAAGCUCAAAGAAAACAGACCUUUGAAGAACCACUUCCACCAAGCAAGAAAACCACUUUUCCCAUUGAUUCCAUGCCACCCUCCUGUUCAAGAUCUGGCGGAGCUCACCUGUUUUGCUGCAGUGGUUGUCGUAAUCGCUCCCCACUAGACCUUCUCCAGAGGAAGAGCAGACAGAAGACGACGACGCGCAAGAAGCAGGGCGGCUAAGGUCCACCACAACUCCGCUGGAAGGCGAGGCUGUAGGCUGGCUCCCCGGUGAAAAGGGUUGGUGGGCCGGGCUUGGGGGCAAACCAUUUUCCAGUAAAAAUUCGUCCAAGUCAACAUAUUCAAUCUCGUUGUAGGGCAGAGUGCGCUCCCAAAGGAGGGAGCCCAGGUACGCACAGUGCCCCGGCCGCGAAAUGCUGAGGUCAUCUUCCAUUUUGCGUUCCUUGUCUUUGAUAACACCUGCAAUGUGGCAUAAAAGGGGGAGAGUUGUCUUUAGAAACAAGACUGGAAAUGGGGAAAAUUUAAGCAUGUGACUGAAUAGAAACACCACAAAGAAGUUUGACGGAAAAUGAGAAUCUAGGGACUGGGGUGUAAUUAUUUGAUGAAGUAUGGGAAAUGUAUAAUUUGUUGGCUAUGGAAAUGGUAUAGCAGUUGGAAGCCAUCUUCAAAACCGCUGAUUUAAAUCUGUUUCUCCAGUAGGAAAGAGGGAUUCCAUGUUUAAUGUGCUCUUCACAUGAAUGUUUGUCACUGAAGACCAGAAUUGCUAUUAUUAAAUAAUAAUACAAUAUAUUGUAUGGAAUAAAACAGUACUACCUAAAACCAGUGUAUAUGAAGCAUAACUGAGAUGUAUGCAACUGUUUGCAGUCAGACAUGAGAAAGACAACAGCUCAAAGAAUGAAGAGGAAAAAGCAAGCAAUGAACACAGACAAAUCCAGCUACAAACAAUUCAUUAUAAUUUGGAAGCAGAACUGAAAGUUUAAGCCAGAGGAGAUUUCAUUUGCACAUCUGAAGAAAAAUAUGUUUAUGGAGAUCUGGAUAUGAUUUCACAACUGAUAAAUAGGUUUCCUUUAAUCUGGAAAUUAUCUUUCCAAAAGUGGAACUAUUAACUCCAACACACAUGACUCUUGCUGUUUCUGCAGACAGCCCCUCAUCCCACCUUUGUUUACAUGUAUACAUCCAUGUAGAAAGAAAUGCACAAUGGUGUUUUUCCUGACAGGGUUUUUCUUGCCACUAGUCACCUCAAGUCUUGCUAAGAGUGUAGUUGCAGGAAUCCAUGGAGAGAUGCCAGUGGUAUGUAAAAGCAUGUGCCAGUUAGCACUGUUCCACUAAGACUUGCAAGAGGCCAUUGUUAUGCGUCACUUCCAUGCUAACUGAAUAAAAGAGAUUAUUCAGAGUACCCGGUGAGACAGAUGCACAGAUUACUUGAUAGAUAGCUAAAGCCUUGAGAAGAUUGUAGAAUCUUUCCAGGGCUGCAUUAAAUCGCACAUCUGGGCAGCAAGGGGCUUUGAUCCCCAAAAAGCAAUGGACACCUCCCCUUCUUCCAGGAAAAGAAGAAAAAGAUUUAGGAAUCAAUGACUGGCAUAUUGUUAAAACUUGACAUUGUAAAGAUUUUUUGCACUUAUUUUGGUUUUGAGAAUGUCAGCUUUCUGAACCUCAGGUAAAAAGGCCACCUGAAAAUAAUCAUGCAAACCAAGAUUGGUCUUUGGUUGUGUCUGAUUUUCUUGGCUGCUAACUGCAAAUUAAAAAACACAAACCAUGAUA